Molecule: ribosomal RNA, 568 nt
Filed under: uncultured bacterium
Lineage: Bacteria
Description: partial 16S ribosomal RNA
Rfam family: Bacterial small subunit ribosomal RNA
Source: RNAcentral
UGGGGAAUAUUGCACAAUGGGCGCAAGCCUGAUGCAGCCAUGCCGCGUGUGUGAAGAAGGCCUUCGGGUUGUAAAGCACUUUCAGCGAGGAGGAAGGUGGUGAGCUUAAUACGCUCAUCAAUUGACGUUACUCGCAGAAGAAGCACCGGCUAACUCCGUGCCAGCAGCCGCGGUAAUACGGAGGGUGCAAGCGUUAAUCGGAAUUACUGGGCGUAAAGCGCACGCAGGCGGUUUGUUAAGUCAGAUGUGAAAUCCCCGGGCUCAACCUGGGAACUGCAUUUGAAACUGGCAAGCUAGAGUCUCGUAGAGGGGGGUAGAAUUCCAGGUGUAGCGGUGAAAUGCGUAGAGAUCUGGAGGAAUACCGGUGGCGAAGGCGGCCCCCUGGANGAAGACUGACGCUCAGGUGCGAAAGCGUGGGGCAGCAAACAGGAUUAGAUACCCUGGUAGUCCACGCUGUAAACGAUGUCGAUUUUGGAGGUUGUGCCCCUUGAGGCGUGGNUUCCGGAGCUAACGNGUUAAAUCGACCGCCNGGGGAGUACGGCCCAAGGUUAAAACUUAAAGGAAUUGC